This 490-nucleotide ribosomal RNA is filed under the name uncultured bacterium. RNAcentral's name for it is "partial 16S ribosomal RNA". It matches the Rfam family "Bacterial small subunit ribosomal RNA", at positions 30 to 507 of the family's 1533-position model. The record is from RNAcentral.
AUUGAACGCUGGCGGCAGGCCUAACACAUGCCAGUCGAACGGUAACAGGAAGCAGCUUGCUGCUUCGCUGACGAGUGGCGGACGGGUGAGUAAUGUCUGGGAAGCUGCCUGAUGGAGGGGGAUAACUACUGGAAACGGUAGCUAAUACCGCAUAAUGUCGCAAGACCAAAGAGGGGGACCUUCGGGCCUCUUGCCAUCGGAUGUGCCCAGAUGGGAUUAGCUUGUUGGUGGGGUAACGGCUCACCAAGGCGACGAUCCCUAGCUGGUCUGAGAGGAUGACCAGCCACACUGGAACUGAGACACGGUCCAGAAUCCUAAGGGAGGCAGCAGUGGGGAAUAUUGCACAAUGGGGGGAAGCCUGAAGGAGCCAUGCCGCGUGUAUGAAGGAGGCCUUCGGGUUGUAAAGUACUUUCAGCGGGGAGGAAGGGAGUAAAGUUAAUACCUUUGCUCAUUGACGUUACCCGCAGAAGAAGCACCGGCUAACUCCGUG